Molecule: ribosomal RNA, 377 nt
Filed under: uncultured bacterium
Lineage: Bacteria
Description: bacterial SSU rRNA
Rfam family: Bacterial small subunit ribosomal RNA
Source: RNAcentral
UAAGACGGAGGGCGCGAGCGUUGUUCGGAAUCACUGGGCGUAAAGCGCACGCAGGCGGUCUCUUAAGUCCACUGUUAAAUCACGGGGCUCAACCCCGGAGGUGCAGUGGAUACUGAGGGACUGGAGACCGGUAGAGGCUAGCGGAAUUCCUGGUGUAGCGGUGGAAUGCGUAGAUAUCAGGAGGAACACCGGUGGCGAAGGCGGCUAGCUGGGCCGGUUCUGACGCUCAUGUGCGAAAGCGUGGGGAGCAAACAGGAUUAGAUACCCUGGUAGUCCACGCCGUAAACGAUGGGCACUAGAUGCCGGGCUCUUCGACGAGUUCGGUGUCGUAGCUAACGCAUUAAGUGCCCCGCCUGGGGAGUACGGCCGCAAGGCUG